AGUCAUGAGCAGAAAAACCACCACCGUCGUGACGUCCACCACACUUCUCUGCUGAUGCAACCUAAGAAGAUUUUACCAAGACGAAAUAUAGAAAAGGCGAAGAAGAGAAAGAAGAUUAAAGAAUCAGAGAAACUUAAGAAAGAGAACAGUUAUUAUUCAAUUCACAACACGCAUAUUAGACAAGGUUUGAUCUCUUUUAUAGAGCGUACAAUCAGCUCUGCUCUCUCGCUAACUGUUCAACAGUUUGCAACCACACCAAUCAACAUUAGACGCGUAUCAUCAGCAAUCAGAUGCUUCAAUUCCUCUCCUCUCAUAACCCCGCAAGGGUCCAUAUUAAACAGGGUGUUGGGAUUGAAAUUGGUUCAUAAACAACAUGAAUUACCUUAUUGGAGCUUUCAAGCCCGCGUGUAAUAUCUCCAUUGCUUUUUCUGAUGGGAAAACUCGUAAGCAGGUUCCAAUGAAGAAGGAAAAUGGUCAUACUGUUAUGGUUCCUCUUUUCCAAAGUCAAGAAAAUAUUGCUGGAAAGGUGCUCUGUUUGAUAAUAAUGUUGUGUAUGUUAUUUAUUAUGGUAAAACAUCUUAUGGUUUUCCAAGUUGGUAUUGUUGACUUGGUGCUUUAAAAAUUUUCCAAUAUUUUAGAUUUCAAUAGAGCCACUUCAAGGGAAGAGGGUUGAACACAAUGGCAUCAAAGUUGAGCUUCUUGGUCAAAUAGGUGACUUUCUAUUCAACUUCUCCACAUGAUGAUUUCUAUUAAAUGAUGGGCGUAGGGUAUUUAGAAUGCCUUACAUUAUACACUGAUACCUUGUGCAAUUCAUGCCUUUAAUAAUUCCAGAUACUAUGGAAGAAUGUAUUGUUGAUGACUCAAUAGUGAAUUCCUAACACCUGCAACUUUUUUUUUUGUGUGUGUGGAUCAAAGUAGAAUUUAUUAACAGAAUGAAGGGAUUACGAGGAUGAUGUUCUAAAUGCAAUUAAAAAAAGAGAAAAGAUUUAUGAAGUAAUGCUUUCUAAUCUCAUUGAAUAUCAACAAGAGAAACCCCUUAAAAGCCUAUACUCAAAAGAAAGCUAGAAAGAUAAUCUAUACCAUAAAAUUUGGUUAAAUAGAACUUGGCCUUGAAAUAUCUUGCCAUUUUUGUAACGCCCUCACUUUAGGUAGUUCGUAUAUUUUAUUGUUCUGGUGACUAAUGUCUGUUUGGACGGCCAGAAUGUCUGGAAUUAUAUUUAAACUAGAGUGGAGUCAUAAAUAAUCUAAGUAAUGACUAAGAAAAAUUAAGGAGAAAUUAAAGAAAUGAAAUGCAAAGAGGUUAAAUGAGCCGCAGCUCCGGCAAUGGAUAACCCUAACGGGAAGCGACUGGGAAGAUAGUUGCCAACCUCAGACCCGUGGGGAACCCUGUGAAAUAAUUAUUUGGGACUUAAUUGAAGAAUUAUUGAGGUUUAGAUGACAAUAAAAUGCCAAGAAAAUUUAUGUUAAUCGAUACAGACAAUUAUAACUUGGUGAACACAAUGAAUGUCAUUUUGGUCAUUUCACCCUCAGAGUUGAUUUUUGACCAACAUGUCCAUUUAAGUAAGUGAGAAUUAUGUAAUAAAAUAUGAAGAAGUAUUGAUAAAAAAUUAAUUAGAAAUGAGUAAAAGAAAGAAGAAAAGAAAAAUAAAAACAAAAUGAAAUUAAAAUCUAAUUAUGACAUAUGCAUUAUGUAAUGAUGAUGUAAUUAAAAUUUCACAACCAAUUAAAAUUUGACAAACAUAAUUAAAAGAUAUAAAAGGAAUUAAAAGAGACAAAAAUAAGUCAUCUUCCUCCUCUCCCACUAGUUGGCCGAACUCCAUUGUUGCAAGCUUCUCACCAUUUCUUCUUCAUGCAAGCUUGAAUUCCCAUGCAAACACACUACAAAACUCAUAAACUCCAACACAAAAAUUAGUAAUUAGGCCUUGAAUAAGUGUUUGGCAGCCAAGAAAUAGAAGGAAAGUGAAGUUUAGACAAAGUCACAAUUGGGGCAAGAGAGGUUAGUGCAAAUACUAACUCCCUUCUCUCUUUAAUCUUUGUUAGGAAGUUGAUUUGAGUUAAAAUUUGUUGAAAAAUGGAAUAAAACAUGUAUGUAGGACCAAGCAUAAAAUUCGGCAAUCAUGAGUAAGGGGAGUGUUUGAUGAUUUUGUUUGAAUUAAAAAUUGUUUAGUGAUAGUCUUUGAUAAGUAUAUAUAGAUUAGAACUUCAAUUUCUAUGUAUAGUAUGAAAUUUAGACAUUGGAAGUUAGGGUUUUGAACCAAAAUUAAGGGUUUGUCAAAUUGUUGUUGAAUAGGUGUUAUUAAGGUCAAUUAAUGACCAUUUGAUGUGGUUUGACCUCAAAAUGGACUUGGUUGUGGAAUUGAAAUGCUUAAAGGAGAAGUGCUCCUUUGUGCUGGAAAUCUGAACUUUGAGUUCAGUAGGUUUGGGUAGCCAUAAGUAAAGAUAGAUAGUUUCAAUUGGUGUAAAGCCAAUUAGAGGUGAAACUAGGGACAUAAUGCCACAUUUUUCAUGAGGGACCCUGCCCAGAAAACCAGCACAAAGUGACCUAAAAUUGGCUUGAAUCCGGGUAACCAUAUGCUGGACUUAAAAAAAUGACCAUAUGAACAGUGAUUGUUCAAAUGGCCAUAACUCAUUGUAGAGAGGUUCAAAUGACCUGAUUCUUGAACCCAUGGAAAGCUUAGAUAAUGUAGAACAACUUUCAUGAAGAACAGAAACUCAAAUUCUGACCAUAACCUAUUCAAUGCCAACCAAAGUUAGGUUACCAAAUCUGCCAGAACCAAAAUUUGCCCAG
This 2788-nucleotide unclassified non-coding RNA is filed under the name Hevea brasiliensis (rubber tree). The record is from RNAcentral. Lineage: Eukaryota; Viridiplantae; Streptophyta; Magnoliopsida; Malpighiales; Euphorbiaceae.